CGUAAUCAACAGCCAAUUAAUUGUUGGCCAGUAUGAAUGGCGCCACGAAGGCCCCGCUGUCCCAAGGAAAUUCCCAGUGAAAUUGAAUUCUUAGUGAAGAUGCUACGACCAACUUGCCAAACGAAAAGACCCCGUCAAGCUUUACUGGCGGCUUGCAUUGCCCGGCCCCCCCCCCCCACCUGUGGUGGGGGGGGGCCGUAAAACCAUGGGCGGCUCAGACCAUGUGGUGACAGAGCCCCCCCGUAUGGGGGCGAUGAGAACCCACUCCCCCAAUGUCGAAGGGGCUAACCCCCCCCUCCCCUGGGGGGGGGACAGUGCAAGCAGGACAGUUUGGUUGGGGCGACCGCCUUUUAAAGGGUAACGAAGGCGCACUUAAGGUCCCGCGGGCAAUAGCGGUGGCCUGACUGCGAGGGGGGUGCGCCCCGAGCAGACACCCGGGGCCCCCCGGGGUUUUGGGGGGCCGGCCGGGUGGGUUAUAGUGACCCGUUAUUUUAUUGUGGGAUAGUUACCGAUCAACGGAUAAAAGUUACCGCGGGGAUAACAGCGUAAU
RNAcentral lists this ribosomal RNA (550 nucleotides) under Abyssoanthus convallis. Its description in RNAcentral is "Abyssoanthus convalis partial 16S ribosomal RNA". It matches the Rfam family "Bacterial large subunit ribosomal RNA", at positions 1960 to 2486 of the family's 2925-position model. Lineage: Eukaryota; Metazoa; Cnidaria; Anthozoa; Zoantharia; Abyssoanthidae. The record is from RNAcentral.